CCUACGGGAGGCAGCAGUCGAGAAUCAUUCACAAUGGGGGAAACCCUGAUGGAGCGACGCCGCGUGGGGGAAUGAAGGUCUUCGGAUUGUAAACCCCUGUUAUGUGGGAGCAAAUUAAAAAGAUAGUACCACAAGAGGAAGAGACGGUUAACUCUGUGCCAGCAGCCGCGGUAAUACAGAGGACUUAAGCGUUGUUCGGAGUCACUGGGCGUAAGGCGUGCGUAGGCUGUUUCGUAAGUCGUGUGUGAAAGGCGCGGGCUCAACCCGCGGACGGCACAUGAUACUGCGAGACUAGAGUAAUGGAGGGGGAACCGGAAUUCUCGGUGUAGCAGUGAAAUGCGUAGAUAUCGAGAGGAACACUCGUGGCGAAGGCAGGUUCCUGGACAUUAACUGACGCUGAGGCACGAAGGCCAGGGGAGCGAAAGGGAUUAGAUACCCCAGUAGUC
Molecule: ribosomal RNA, 446 nt
Filed under: uncultured bacterium
Lineage: Bacteria
Description: partial 16S ribosomal RNA
Rfam family: Bacterial small subunit ribosomal RNA
Source: RNAcentral